This 83-nucleotide transfer RNA is filed under the name Spirochaetaceae bacterium. RNAcentral's name for it is "tRNA-Leu". It matches the Rfam family "tRNA". Rfam says of the family: Transfer RNA (tRNA) molecules are approximately 80 nucleotides in length. RNAcentral also lists the same sequence under 1 other name. The record is from RNAcentral. Lineage: Bacteria; Pseudomonadati; Spirochaetota; Spirochaetia; Spirochaetales; Spirochaetaceae.
GCCGGGGUGGUGGAAUGGUAGACACCGGGGACUUAAAAUCCCCUGGCCGCAAGGCCGUAUGAGUUCAAAUCUCAUUCCCGGCA